This is an RNA transcript of Capra hircus (goat), 9107 nucleotides long. It is a transcript of the gene named phosphodiesterase 4D interacting protein, with no coding region annotated. The transcript is spliced from 41 exons. Lineage: Eukaryota; Metazoa; Chordata; Mammalia; Artiodactyla; Bovidae. The record is from RefSeq and is a predicted model, not a curated record.
GGGACGCGCUGGCCACCCCGCAUGCGCAGAGCGAGGAGCCGGCCUCCUGGACUACAGCUCCCAGAGGAGUUUGCUGGCGGCUGCAGGCGUCGAGCCGCCGGCGCCAUCUUGAAAUCUGAUCCUCAAUCUCUGAGUCUUUGCGUCAGCCGCGGGCGGCAGCCGGAGGACCGCGAACUCGGCCCGCUGAAAAGGGAGGACAUUGAGGACACAGCGGCUGGCGGGAGAGACAGCUGGAGGAGACAUGGCAGGUUCUGAGCGCGGCCUGCGCUGCUGUCACUCAGCAUCCUCCUGAGGCAUUUCCUCGCCCGCCGCCUCCCCGAGGGGCGGGGCUGACCACUCUGGUACCCAGAACCCGCGCGCGGGUGUCAGCGGAGCGCCCCUGCAGGGUGGGCACCCCACCAAGCUGUGCCAUGCCAGCCGGAGGCCACCGAGGCGGGAGACGGAACGCAACCAAGCGCCAGUGAGCGAUCACCGAACAGCAGCCGCCUCCGGGAAGCUCGGCAACCGUAGGAGGGAAGAUGAAGGAGAUUUGCAGGAUCUGUGCCCGGGAGCUGUGCGGAAACCAGCGGCGCUGGAUCUUCCACACGGCGUCCAAGCUCAACCUCCAGGUUCUGUUGUCGCACGUCCUGGGCAAGGAUGUCUCCCGCGAUGGCAAAGCUGAGUUUGCUUGCAGCAAGUGCGCGUUCAUGCUCGAUCGGAUCUAUAGAUUCGACACCGUCAUUGCCCGGAUCGAAGCCCUUUCUAUUGAGCGCUUGCAGAAGCUGCUGCUGGAGAAGGACCGCCUCAAGUUCUGCAUUGCUAGCAUGUAUCGGAAGAAUAACGAUGACCCUGGCGCGGAGACCAAGGCGGGGAAUGGAACGGUUGACAUUUCCAGCUUACCCGAUGUCAGAUACUCUGCACUGCUCCAGGAAGACUUUGCCUAUUCAGGGUUCGAGUGUUGGGUAGAAAAUGAAGAUCAGAUUCAGGAGCACAGCUGUCAUGCUUCGGAAGGCCCCGGAAAUCGACCCAGGAGAUGCCGAGGCUGUGCAGCUUUGCGGGUGGCUGAUUCUGACUACGAAGCCAUUUGUAAGGUACCUCGAAAGGUGGCGAAAAGUAUUUCUUGUGGCCCCUCUACCAGAUGGUCCACCAGCAUUUGCACUGAAGAACCAGCGUUGUCCGAGGUUGGGCCACCGGAUUUACCAAAUGCGAAGGUACCGCCAGAUGGAGAAAGCAUGGAGGAAGGGACCCCGGGAUCCUCUGUGGAAUCUUUGGAUGCAAGUGUCCAGGCUAGUCCUCCACAACCAAAGGAUGAGGAACCUGAGAGAAGCGCAAAGGAACUUGUAAAGUGUGACUGCUGUUCAGAUGAACAGGCUCCCCAGCAUACGUGUAACCAUAAGCUGGAGCUAGCUCUUAGCAUGAUUAAAGGUCUUGAUUAUAAGCCCAUCCAGAGCCCCCGAGGGAGCAAGCUUCCUAUUCCAGUGAAAUCCAAUCCAUCUGGAACCAGGCCUGGCCAUAUCAUGACAGAUGGAGUUAGUUCUGGUUUCCUUAACAGGUCUUUGAAACCCCUUUACAAGACACCUGUGAGUUAUCCCUUGGAGAUUUCAGACCUGCAGGAGCUGUGGGAUGAUCUCUGUGAAGAUUAUCUGCCACUUCGGGUCCAGCCCGUGACUGAAGACUUACUCAAACAACAGAAGUUGAAUUCAAAUGAGACUGGUACAACUCAGCAGUCUGUAUCUGAUUCCCAUCUGGCAGAACUCCAGGAAAAAAUCCAGCAAACAGAGACCACCAACAAGAUUCUUCAAGAAAAACUGAAUGAAAUGAGCUGUGAACUGAAGUCUGCUCAGGAGUCAUCUCAGAAGCAAGAUGAUACAAUUCAAAACCUCAAGGAAACUCUGAAAAGCAGGGAAAGUGAGACUGAGGAGUUGUACCAGGUGAUUGAAGGUCAAAACGACACAAUGGCUAAGCUUCGAGAAAUGCUGCACCAGAGUCAGCUUAAACAGCUUCAUAACUCAGAGGGUACUUCCCCAGCUCAGCAACAGGUGGCUCUGCUUGAUCUUCAAAGUGCUUUAUUCUGCAGCCAGCUUGAAAUACAGAAGCUCCAGAGGGCAGUACGACAAAAAGAACGGCAGCUGGCUGAUGCUAGACGAUGUGUGCGGUUUGUAGAGGCUGCAGCACAGGAGAGAGAGCAGCAGAAAGAGGCUUCUUGGAAACAUAACCAAGAAUUGCGAAAAGCCCUACAGCAGCUACAAGGAGAACUUCAGAGUAAGAGCCAACAGCUUCAUACCCUGGAGGCUGAAAAAUAUACUGAGAUUCGCACCCAAGAGCAGCACAUUCAGCACCUCCACCACAGUGUGAGUCACAAAGAGCAGCUGCUUCAGGAAUUUCGGGAGCUCCUGCAGUACCGAAAUAACUCGGACAAAACCCUUGAAGCAAAUGAAAUGUUGCUUGAGAAACUUAGGCAAAGAAUACAAGAUAGAGAUGUUGCCCUAGAGCGGGCUAUAGAUGAAAAGUUCUCCAGCCUAGAAGAAAAGGAAAAAGAACUGCGUCAACUUCAUCUUGCCAUGAGAGAGCGAGAUCACGACUUAGAGAGGCUGCGCGGUAUCCUCUCCUCCAAUGAAGCUACCAUGCAGAGUAUGGAGAGUCUCCUGAGGUCCAAAGGCCUGGAAGUGGAACAGUUGUCUGCCACCUGUCAGAACCUCCAGUGGCUGAAAGAAGAAAUGGAAACCAAAUUUAGCUGUUGGCAGAAGGAGCAAGAAAGCAUCAUUCAGCAGCUACAGACAUCUCUGCAUGACAGAAACAAAGAAGUAGAGGAUCUUACCGCAACAUUGCUCUGCAAACUUGGACCAGGGCAGAGUGAGAUAGCUGAGGAGCUGUGCCAGCGUCUACAGCGGAAAGAACGGAUGCUGCAGGACCUUCUGAGUGAUCGGAACAAGCAAGCGGUGGAAUAUGAAAUGGAGAUUCAGGGCCUGCUUCAGUCCAUGAGCGCAAGAGAGCAGGAGAGCCGAGCUGCUGCAGAAAAGAUGGUACAAGCUCUAAUGGAAAGAAAUUCAGAAUUACAGGCCCUGCGCCAAUAUUUAGGAGGGAAAGAUUUCAUGAUGUCCCAAGCACCCCUGUCUAACCGACCAGCUGAAGUUACCUCCAUCAGCCCCCAUCUUGAAGAGCAAACUGGUCAAGGUUCAGUGCAUAUACCCUCCAGAGAUGAGAGCACUUCAUUGACUGCCAAAAGGGAUGCUACCGUACCCAGGUCCUCGUUAGGAGACUUGGAUACAGUUGCGGGGCUGGAAAAAGAACUGAGUAAUGCCAAAGAGGAACUUGAGCUCAUGGCUAAAAAAGAGAGAGAAAGUCGGAUGGAACUCUCCGCGCUCCAGUCCAUGGUGGCUGUGCAGGAGCAAGAGCUGCAGGUUCAGGCUGCUGACAUGGAGUCCCUGACCAGGACCAUACAGAUUAAGGAAGACCUCAUAAAGGACCUGCAGAUGCAGCUGGUUGAUCCUGAAGACAUCCCGGCUAUGGAACGGCUGACCCAGGAAGUCUUGCUUCUUCGGGAAAAAGUUGCUUCAGUAGAAUCACAAGGACAGGAAACGUCCGGAAACCGAAGACAACAAUUGCUGCUGAUGCUCGAAGGACUGGUAGAUGAGCGGAGUCGGCUUAAUGAGGCCUUACAGGCAGAGAGACAGCUCUACAGCAGUCUGGUGAAGUUCCAUGCCCAUCCAGAGAGCUCUGAGAGAGACCGAACUCUGCAGGUGGAACUAGAAGGGGCCCAGGUGAUCCGCAAUCGGCUAGAAGAAGUUCUCGGAAGAAGCCUGGAGCGCUUAAGCAGGCUGGAGACCCUGGCCGCCAUUGGAGGUACAGCUGCAGGGGACGACACGGAGGAUGCGAGCACGGAGUUCACCGACAGUAUCGAGGAGGAGGCUGCACACAACAGCCACCAGCAACUCAUCAAGGUGGCGUUGGAGAAAAGCCGGGCAGCUGUGGAGACCCAGAAUGUCUCUCUUGCUCCUCCUUCCCUGACAGGAGGGGACAGUAACAGGGGUCUUCAGGAGGAAAUGCUUCACCUGAGGGCUGAAAUUCACCGGCACUUAGAGGAGAAGAGGAAAGCUGAGGGGGAACUGAAGGAGCUAAAGGCUCAAAUCGAGGAAGCAGGAUUCUCCUCUGUGGCCCACAUCAGGAACACCAUGCUGAGCCUUUGCCUUGAGAAUGCAGAGCUGAAAGAGCAGAUGGGAGAAGCAAUGUCUGAUGGAUGGGAGAUUGAGGAAGACAAGGAGAAGGGCGAGGUGAUGGUGGAGACUGUGGUUGCCAAAAGGGGUCUGAAUGAGAAUAGCCUUCAGGCUGAAUUCAGAAAGGUCCAGGGAAAACUGAAGAAUGCCCGUAAUAUCAUCAGCCUCCUCAAGGAACAGCUGGUGCUAAGCAGCAAGGAAGGGACUAGUAAGCUUAAUCCUGAGCUCCUUGUGCACCUGGCCCAGGAGAUCAACAGAAUGAACACAGAGCUGGUUUACUCUCCUGGAAAGCACCAAUGCCUAGAAGAGGAGGGUGUGACCACAAGGCCGUGCCCCAGACCCCAGAGCCUUGACCUUGGGGCUGCCCUCACAGUGGAUGCUCACCAACUGGAUAACCAGCCCCAGACCCAUGACCCUGGGCCACAGUCAGAAUUUCGCCUCUCGGGAUCCACGAAGCACCUGCGCUCCCAGUUGGCACAAUGCAAACAACGCUAUCAGGAUCUCCAGGAGAAGCUGCUGAUAUCAGAAGCCACUGUCUUUGCCCAGGCCAACCAGCUGGAGAAAUACAGAGUCAUGUUUACAGGUGGAUCAUCGGUGAAGCAGGACAGCAAGCAAGUGCAGGUGGACCUCCAGGACCUGGGCUAUGAGACCUGUGGCCGAAGCGAGAACGAGGCUGAGCGGGAGGAGAGCACCAGCCCUGAGUGUGAGGAGCACAACAGCCUCAGGGAAACAGUCUUGAUGGAGGGGCUGUGCUCCAAGCAGGGACACCUGGGCUCCACAAUGGCCAGCCCCCCUGGGAAGAAGCCCCCGGACAGCCAACUAGGGAAGCAGGAGGAGCUCCGGGCAUACGGAAAGUCAGAAGACAUCUCUGUCCUACGUAAGGACAUCAAAGAUCUGAAGGCCCAGCUGCAGAACGCCAACAAGGUCAUUCAGAACCUGAAGAGCCGGGUUCGGUCCCUCUCAGUUACAAGCGAUUAUUCAUCUAGUCUGGAGAGACCCCGAAAGCUGAAGGCCAUUGGUGCCCUAGAGGGAUCUUCACCGCACAGUGUCACUGAUGAGGACGAGGGGUGGCUGUCUGAUGGCACUGGGGCUUUCUACCCUCCAGGGCUUCAGGCUAAAAAGGAUCUGGAGAGUCUGAUCCAGAGGGUGUCCCAGCUAGAAGCCCAGCUCCCAAAAACUGGGACGGAAGGGAAGCUGGCCGAGGAGCUGAGAUCUGCCUCAUGGCCUGGGAAAUAUGAUUCCCUGAUUCAGGACCAGGCCCGAGAACUAUCCUACCUACGUCAGAAAAUACGGGAAGGGAGAGGUAUCUGUUAUCUUCUCACUCAGCACUCGAAAGACACGGUAAAGUCUUUCGAGGACCUCCUAAGGAGCAACGACAUUGACUACUACCUGGGGCAGAGCUUCCGGGAGCACCUCGCCCAGGGCAGCCAGCUGACAGAAAGGCUCACCAGCAAACUCAGCACCAAGGAUCAUAAAAGUGAGAAAGAUCAAGCUGGACUCGAGCCACUGGCUCUGAGGCUUAGCAGGGAGCUGCAGGAGAAGGAGAAAGUGAUUGAAGUCCUGCAGGCCAAGCUGGAUGCCCGCUCCCUCACGCCGUGCAGCAGUCAUGCCCUGUCUGACUCUCAGCGCUCUCCCAGCAGCUCCUCCUUCUUGUCUGACGAGCUGGAAGCCUGCUCUGACAUGGACAUCGCCAGCGAGUACACACACUAUGAAGAGAAGAAAGCUUCACCUGGUCACUCAGAUUCCAUCCAUCAUUCGAGUCAUUCUGCUGUACUGUCUUCCAAACCAUCAGCAACCAGUUCAUCUCAGGGGGUUAAGGCCGAACCCAGCAGCAACCCUAUCAGCUUCCCAGCUCCCCAGAAUCCCCCCAAUGAGGCCAGCCAGGCCCAUCCAGGCCUUCAUUUCCAAUCCAUACCCACGCUGGUUAGCCUUCCCCAGGCACCACUGCCCUCAGCUCCACCCAGCUUCCUGCCUUUCAGCUCUGCUGGCCCUCCCCUCCCUGGCUGCUGUGAGACACCCAUGGUCUCCUUGGCAGAGGCUCAGCAGGAGCUGCAGAUGCUGCGGAAGCAGUUAGGAGAAAGUGUCACCAGUGUUCAUCCUGCUUCCCCGGCCACAUUGCCAACCAACCCUACAGAAGCCAGAUCUUCCCUCUGCCUCAACCCUCCCCAGCCCCUCUGUCCUCUGAGGAGCACCACGGAACUGGGCAAAGUCCUGGAGCCUGGGUACCUGGGCAGCAGUGGCCAGUGGGACAUGAUGAGGCCUCAGAAAGGGAGCAUAUCCGGGGACCUAUCCUCAGGCUCCUCCAUGUACCAGCUUAACUCCAAACCCACAGGGGCUGACCUGCUAGAGGAGCAUCUUGGUGAAAUACGGAAUCUGCGCCAGCGCCUGGAGGAGUCCAUCUGCAUUAAUGACCGCCUGCGGGAGCAGCUGGAACACAGGCUCAGCUCCACUGCCCGCGAAAGCGGCUCAACCUCUAACUUCUAUAGUCAGGGCCUGGAGUCCACACCUCAGCUCUCCAAUGAGAACAGAGUCCUUAGGGAAGAAAACCACAGGCUUCAGGCUCAGCUCAGUCAUGUUUCCAGAGAGCACUCCCAGGAAACAGAAUGCCUGAGGGAGGCCCUGCUGACCUCUCGAUCCCGGCUUCAAGAGCUGGAAAUGGAGCUGGAGCACCAAAAGGUAGACCGGCAGCAGUUACUGGAAGACCUGAAGGAGAAGCAGCAGGAGAUCUUGCAUUUCCAGGAGGAACGACUGUCUCUCCAGGAGAAAGACUCCAGGCUGCAGCAUAAGCUGGCCCUCCUGCAGCAACAGUGCGAACAGAAACAGCAGCUUUUCCAGUCCCUCCAGUCAGAGCUACAGAUCUAUGAGGCACUUUAUGGUGACUCCAAGAAGGGGCUGAAAGCUUAUACCUGGAAUGCCUGUCACCAAGUCCCUUUGAGCAGUGACUUGAGCCACCUGGUGGCAGAGAUCCGAGCUUUGCGAGGGCAGCUGGAGCAGAGCAUUCAGGUGAACAACUGUCUGCGACUGCAGCUCGAACAGCAGUUGGAUGGUGGUGCCAGCAAAGCCAGCCUCAGCUCCUCCGUUAACCAGAAAUUCCCCACCAACACUGACCCUGGAAACAAGCAGCCGUUCUUCCAAGAUUCAGUUGCCUCCCCUCCAGUUCGGGAUGUGGGCAUGAAUUCUCCAGUUCUGGUCUUCCCCAGCUCUUCUUCUGAAGCUCCUGGCCCAGAGACCACAACCUUCAGUAGGACAAACGAGCUGGGUUUGGAUGCUUCUCCAGUAAUGAAGAACCCUCCCAAGCUGGAGGGUGAUGCUACUGAUGGCUCCUUUGCCAAUAAGCAUGGCCGCCACGUCAUUGGCCACAUUGAUGACUAUAGUGCCCUAAGAGAGCAGAUUGGGGAGGGCAGAGUGCUGGUCAAGAAGAUAGCAUCACUUGUGAGACCAACCUGCAGCUUCUCUGGUCUUGAAGCUCCGGGCAUAGAGGUGAUGGGUAGCGAAGGCAUCCAGGAGCUGAGGAGCAGCGCCACUGCCCUGCACCACCGGCUGGAGGAGUCGGCCUCCCUCCUCACCAUGUUCUGGAGAGCAGCCUUGCCAAGCUCCCCUGGCGCUAUGCUUGUGGGCAAAGUGGGAGAGUCUAUGAAAAAGGAGCUUCUGGAACUGAGAACCAAACUAUCCAAACAGGAGAGUCUCCUUCAGAGUACAUCUGAGCGUCUGAAGACCGCCAAUCAGCAGAAGGAGAGCAUGGAGCAGUUCAUCUUCAGCCAGUUGACCAGGACACACGAUGUUUUGAAGAAGGCAAGGACUAAUUUGGAGCCUUUUUAGAAGAACUCUUACAAGACUGCUUCUGUAAAGCCUUAUUCCUGUCCCAGCAAAGGUGAAAUCCCUAAGGGCCCUGCCAUGCACUCCAGUCCUGUGACCCUUGCCUUCCAGGAGACAUGCAAGAAGCGAAGCCACCAGAGGUCCUUAAAACAGCAGGAAGGAUGGGCCUGCGCCCCUUCUUCACAGCUCCCUGUCUGCUGAGGAGGAUCUGAGCCCUCCUCCACACCUACUGGAGGGUCUGGAAGGAGUCAUAGAUAUGGCCUCGUGGGCAGGGUGAAAGGCAGAGGGCCUUUCCUGCACUUGAGGAAUAACAAGGCAGGGUGUCCAUGGCUCAGCACUAAGGAAAACAUGCCUAGUUACUAGACGACCUUGUGACACUGCUUCUGAACAUGCUGAGGGCAUGGGAGCCAGCAACAGACACUUCUUGCUUCAUCACCUGUCCUCAGAGGGUCAGCUCAGGGGAAACAGGACCUGCUUCCCCACAAUUCAGCAUGCGGUCCCAACAUUGGAGCUCCUCGGCAGAUCUGAAAGCACAAGACUGAGCAGCGGUGCCCUGCAGGACAGUUUGGGCAGGGGGGCCUGACUGCCUGACCCAGGGCCCAUGCAACUGGGUCACCGUUAGGCUGGGUGUCAGUCUAAACUGCAGCACCUGAGUACUAUGAAUCCAUGUGGUGGGAAUGGUGAUUCCCAUAUGCCAUCUCAUGCUUAGCCUAGACUUCCUACUUAUAUUCUAUUGUUGUCUCCAAAAGCUGUACUGACUUUACAUAUACUGUCCCCUUUUGUCAUCCCAGCUUCUCUCUGGGAACUAGGGACUAAUGGCCACAGCAAGCCCACUGAAAGUCUUGUGUAAAGCAAACCGGUGAUCAUUUUUAAGUGACAUGCAAGAGGCCCCCAGUUGUGCUUGUACUGAAGCCUAGUCUGUGUCUUCACAAAAGUGCUUUAGAAAGUGUGUAUGUGUGUAUAAAUGUAUGAUAUAUAUUUAUAUAUGUUGCUAUAGUGCUGUGUGGAAGGCUAAUAUAACUGGUGGACAGGGUCAGUGAGAGGAAAUGACACAGUCUUUUUGGUGGCUAUUAAAGCAAACUAUGUAUAAAAAAAAAA